RNAcentral lists this transfer RNA (72 nucleotides) under Marmota monax (woodchuck). RNAcentral's name for it is "tRNA.Gly". Lineage: Eukaryota; Metazoa; Chordata; Mammalia; Rodentia; Sciuridae. The record is from RNAcentral.
GGAUUGGGGCUCAGUGGUAGAGUGCUUGCUUGCCUAGCACGCGUGAGGCCCUGGGUUCGAUCCUCAGCACCA